GUUUUGUAAUAAAUCAUACCCCAUAGUUCAAACUGAUAUAAGUUGCAAACAUAUCUGGAAUGGGUCUUGCAAGUUACAAGCAAAUGAAAACCAUGUAAAUUCAGGUAUGAAAAAACCCGCCUUUGUGUCCGUGCUCCUGGCAAAGUGCCAAAUCGUUUAAAUUUUCAUUUGUAUUGACCAUUACAUAGGCAAAUGGAAGGGUUCCACCUGACAUUACUCUAAAAACUCAACUACCCCAUUUAAUAUGCUUUUGGGUAGUUCUUAAAAGGCAUUAAAAGUUGGAUUUUUCCUUGGUUUUAUAAUGAAUUUACAUAAUUAUGCAAAUG
RNAcentral lists this long non-coding RNA (326 nucleotides) under Mytilus galloprovincialis (Mediterranean mussel). The record is from RNAcentral. Lineage: Eukaryota; Metazoa; Mollusca; Bivalvia; Mytilida; Mytilidae.